Molecule: ribosomal RNA, 433 nt
Filed under: uncultured Anaerovorax sp.
Lineage: Bacteria; Bacillati; Bacillota; Clostridia; Peptostreptococcales; Anaerovoracaceae
Description: bacterial SSU rRNA
Rfam family: Bacterial small subunit ribosomal RNA
Source: RNAcentral
ACGGAAGGCAGCAGUGGAGAAUCUUGCACAAUGGGCGAAAGCCUGAUGCAGCAACGCCGCGUGAAGGAUGAAGGCCCUUGGGUCGUAAACUUCUGUUCUAAGGGAAGAUAAUGACGGUACCUUAGGAGCAAGUCCCGGCUAACUACGUGCCAGCAGCCGCGGUAAUACGUAGGGGGCGAGCGUUAUCCGGAAUUAUGGGGCGUAAAGAGUACGUAGGUGGUUUCCUAAGCAUGGGGUUUAAGGCAAUGGCUUAACUAUUGUUCGCCCCAUGAACUGGGUUACUUGAGUGCUGGAGGGGAAAGCGGAAUUCCUAGUGUAGCGGUGAAAUGCGUAGAUAUUAGGAGGAACACCAGUGGCGAAGGCGGCUUUCUGGACUGUUACUGACACUGAGGCACGAAAGUGUGGGGAGCAAACAGGAUUAGAUACCCUGGUA